CAGAGUUCUCGCCCUCGCGGGUAGAUCUCCCACCCACUGUUAUCGUUACUAUCGUUGCUUUGGCGGGCCGCCGGGCCCUGCCCGGCCCCCGGCCCCGGCUGGGGUGCGCCUGCCAGAGGACCCCCAACUCUGUGUUUAGUGUCGUCUGAGUACUAUAUAAUAAGUUA
RNAcentral lists this unclassified non-coding RNA (167 nucleotides) under uncultured Oidiodendron. RNAcentral's name for it is "sequence contains ITS1". The record is from RNAcentral. Lineage: Eukaryota; Fungi; Ascomycota; Leotiomycetes; Myxotrichaceae.